UUAAGCGACCAAGCGUACACGGUGGAUGCCCUGGCAGUCAGAGGCGAUGAAGGGCGUGCUAAUCUGCGAUAAGCGCCGGUAAGGUGAUAUGAACCGUUAUAACCGGCGAUACCCGAAUGGGGAAACCCAGUGUGACUCGUCACACUAUCAUUAACUGAAUCCAUAGGUUAAUGAGGCGAACCGGGGGAACUGAAACAUCUAAGUACCCCGAGGAAAAGAAAUCAACCGAGAUUCCCCCAGUAGCGGCGAGCGAACGGGGAGGAGCCCAGAGCCUGAAUCAGCAUGUGUGUUAGUGGAAGCGUCUGGAAAGGCGCGCGACACAGGGUGACAGCCCCGUACACAAAAGCGCAUGUGCUGUGAGCUCGAUGAGUAGGGCGGGACACGUGGUAUCCUGUCUGAAUAUGGGGGGACCAUCCUCCAAGGCUAAAUACUCCUGACUGACCGAUAGUGAACCAGUACCGUGAGGGAAAGGCGAAAAGAACCCCGGCGAGGGGAGUGAAACAGAACCUGAAACCGUGUACGUACAAGCAGUGGGAGCAUGAGUUUACUCAUGUGACUGCGUACCUUUUGUAUAAUGGGUCAGCGACUUAUAUUCUGUAGCAAGGUUAACCGAAUAGGGGAGCCGGAGGGAAACCGAGUCUUAAUUGGGCGUUAAGUUGCAGGGUAUAGACCCGAAACCCGGUGAUCUAGCCAUGGGCAGGUUGAAGGUUGGGUAACACUAACUGGAGGACCGAACCGACUAAUGUUGAAAAAUUAGCGGAUGACCUGUGGCUGGGGGUGAAAGGCCAAUCAAACCGGGAGAUAGCUGGUUCUCCCCGAAAGCUAUUUAGGUAGCGCCUCGUGAAUUCAUCUCCGGGGGUAGAGCACUGUUUCGGCCAGGGGGCCAUCCCGGCUUACCAACCCGAUGCAAACUGCGAAUACCGGAGAAUGUUAUCACGGGAGACACACGGCGGGUGCUAACGUCCGUCGUGAAGAGGGAAACAACCCAGACCGCCAGCUAAGGUCCCAAAGUCAUGGUUAAGUGGGAAACGAUGUGGGAAGGCCCAGACAGCCAGGAUGUUGGCUUAGAAGCAGCCAUCAUUUAAAGAAAGCGUAAUAGCUCACUGGUCGAGUCGGCCUGCGCGGAAGAUGUAACGGGGCUAAACCAUGCACCGAAGCUGCGGCAGCGACACUGUGUGUCGUUGGGUAGGGGAGCGUUCUGUAAGCCUGCGAAGGUGGCCUGUGAGGGUUGCUGGAGGUAUCAGAAGUGCGAAUGCUGACAUAAGUAACGAUAAUGCGGGUGAAAAACCCGCACGCCGGAAGACCAAGGGUUCCUGUCCAACGUUAAUCGGGGCAGGGUGAGUCGACCCCUAAGGCGAGGCCGAAAGGCGUAGUCGAUGGGAAACAGGUUAAUAUUCCUGUACCUGGUGUUACUGCGAAGGGGGGACGGAGAAGGCUAUGUUGGCCGGGCGACGGUUGUCCCGGUUUAAGCGUGCAGGUGUGUGUUCCAGGAAAAUCCGGUUCACUUUAACACUGAGGCGUGACGACGAGGCACUACGGUGCUGAAGCAACAAAUGCCCUGCUUCCAGGAAAAGCCUCUAAGCCUCAGGUAACAUCAGAUCGUACCCGAAACCGACACAGGUGGUCAGGUAGAGAAUACCAAGGCGCUUGAGAGAACCCGGGUGAAGGAACUAGGCAAAAUGGUGCCGUAACUUCGGGAGAAGGCACGCUGACACGUAGGUGAAGCGGUUUACCCGUGAAGCUGAAGUCAGUCGAAGAUACCAGCUGGCUGCAACUGUUUAUUAAAAACACAGCACUGUGCAAACACGAAAGUGGACGUAUACGGUGUGACGCCUGCCCGGUGCCGGAAGGUUAAUUGAUGGGGUCAGCGCAAGCGAAGCUCCUGAUCGAAGCCCCGGUAAACGGCGGCCGUAACUAUAACGGUCCUAAGGUAGCGAAAUUCCUUGUCGGGUAAGUUCCGACCUGCACGAAUGGCGUAAUGAUGGCCAGGCUGUCUCCACCCGGGACUCAGUGAAAUUGAACUCGCUGUGAAGAUGCAGUGUACCCGCGGCAAGACGGAAAGACCCCGUGAACCUUUACUAUAGCUUGACACUGAACACUGGUCCUUGAUGUGCAGGAUAGGUGGGAGGCUUUGAAGUGUGGACGCCAGUCUGCAUGGAGCCGUCCUUGAAAUACCACCCUUUAAUGGCUGGUGUUCUAACGUAGACCCGUGAACCGGGUUGCGGACAGUGUCUGGUGGGUAGUUUGACUGGGGCGGUCUCCUCCUAAAGCGUAACGGAGGAGCACGAAGGUUGGCUAAUCCUGGUCGGACAUCAGGAGGUUAGUGCAAUGGCAUAAGCCAGCUUGACUGCGAGCGUGACGGCGCGAGCAGGUGCGAAAGCAGGUCAUAGUGAUCCGGUGGUUCUGAAUGGAAGGGCCAUCGCUCAACGGAUAAAAGGUACUCCGGGGAUAACAGGCUGAUACCGCCCAAGAGUUCAUAUCGACGGCGGUGUUUGGCACCUCGAUGUCGGCUCAUCACAUCCUGGGGCUGAAGUAGGUCCCAAGGGUAUGGCUGUUCGCCAUUUAAAGUGGUACGCGAGCUGGGUUUAGAACGUCGUGAGACAGUUCGGUCCCUAUCUGCCGUGGGCGCUGGAGAACUGAGGGGGGCUGCUCCUAGUACGAGAGGACCGGAGUGGACGCAUCACUGGUGUUCGGGUUGUCAUGCCAAUGGCACUGCCCGGUAGCUAAAUGCGGAAGAGAUAAGUGCUGAAAGCAUCUAAGCACGAAACUUGCCCCGAGAUGAGUUCUCCCUGAGACUACAAGUCUCCUGAAGGAACGUUGAAGACGACGACGUUGAUAGGCCGGGUGUGUAAGCGCAGCGAUGCGUUGAGCUAACCGGUACUAAUGAACCGUGAGGCUUAACCUU
RNAcentral lists this ribosomal RNA (2905 nucleotides) under Salmonella enterica subsp. arizonae. RNAcentral's name for it is "bacterial LSU rRNA". It matches the Rfam family "Bacterial large subunit ribosomal RNA". The record is from RNAcentral. Lineage: Bacteria; Pseudomonadati; Pseudomonadota; Gammaproteobacteria; Enterobacterales; Enterobacteriaceae.